AGGUUUCGUUUGCUUUCAUUACUAGAACAUAGACUUAGUAGCGGCCAUCGUGUUUGGAAAGCGUAAUAGCUCACUAGUUAAGCAAUACGAAGCUUCGAUAUGUUUGGUAUUUUUUAUAGCCGAAGCUCGCCGGUAACAU
RNAcentral lists this ribosomal RNA (139 nucleotides) under Eudorina elegans. RNAcentral describes it as "large subunit ribosomal RNA". Lineage: Eukaryota; Viridiplantae; Chlorophyta; Chlorophyceae; Chlamydomonadales; Volvocaceae. The record is from RNAcentral.